AGACCCGAAACCCGGUGAUCUAGCCAUGGGCAGGUUGAAGGUUGGGUAACACUAACUGGAGGACCGAACCGACUAAUGUUGAAAAAUUAGCGGAUGACCUGUGGCUGGGGGUGAAAGGCCAAUCAAACCGGGAGAUAGCUGGUUCUCCCCGAAAGCUAUUUAGGUAGCGCCUCGUGAAUUCAUCUCCGGGGGUAGAGCACUGUUUCGGCUAGGGGGCCAUCCCGGCUUACCAACCCGAUGCAAACUGCGAAUACCGGAGAAUGUUAUCACGGGAGACACACGGCGGGUGCUAACGUCCGUCGUGAAGAGGGAAACAACCCAGACCGCCAGCUAAGGUCCCAAAGUCAUGGUUAAGUGGGAAACGAUGUGGGAAGGCCCAGACAGCCAGGAUGUUGGCUUAGAAGCAGCCAUCAUUUAAAGAAAGCGUAAUAGCUCACUGGUCGAGUCGGCCUGCGCGGAAGAUGUAACGGGGCUAAACCAUGCACCGAAGCUGCGGCAGCGACACUCAGGUGUUGUUGGGUAGGGGAGCGUUCUGUAAGCCUGCGAAGGUGGCCUGUGAGGGUUGCUGGAGGUAUCAGAAGUGCGAAUGCUGACAUAAGUAACGAUAAAGCGGGUGAAAAGCCCGCUCGCCGGAAGACCAAGGGUUCCUGUCCAACGUUAAUCGGGGCAGGGUGAGUCGACCCCUAAGGCGAGGCCGAAAGGCGUAGUCGAUGGGAAACGGGUUAAUAUUCCCGUACUUGGUGUUACUGCGAAGGGGGGACGGAGAAGGCUAUGUUGGCCGGGCGACGGUUGUCCCGGUUUAAGCGUGUAGGUGUGUGUUCCAGGUAAAUCCGGUUCACUUUAACACUGAGGCGUGACGACGAGGCACUACGGUGCUGAAGCAACAAAUGCCCUGCUUCCAGGAAAAGCCUCUAAGCAUCAGGUAACAUCAAAUCGUACCCCAAACCGACACAGGUGGUCAGGUAGAGAAUACCAAGGCGCUUGAGAGAACUCGGGUGAAGGAACUAGGCAAAAUGGUGCCGUAACU
This 1027-nucleotide ribosomal RNA is filed under the name Salmonella enterica subsp. enterica serovar Infantis. RNAcentral's name for it is "partial 23S ribosomal RNA". It matches the Rfam family "Bacterial large subunit ribosomal RNA", at positions 711 to 1735 of the family's 2925-position model. The record is from RNAcentral. Lineage: Bacteria; Pseudomonadati; Pseudomonadota; Gammaproteobacteria; Enterobacterales; Enterobacteriaceae. RNAcentral also lists the same sequence under 5 other names.